RNA transcript from Uranotaenia lowii, 4002 nucleotides. It is a transcript of the gene named bromodomain-containing protein homolog, with no coding region annotated. NCBI's taxonomy places the organism in Eukaryota, Metazoa, Arthropoda, Insecta, Diptera, Culicidae. The transcript has 6 exons. The record is from RefSeq and is a predicted model, not a curated record.
GCGAUGCCCAAAAUCGGAGCGAAACGUAAACAAUAAACAGUGUCCGGAGCGCAGAUUUUCGCGUUAUGUUCUGUCCUUAAUCCCGGUAAACGGUAAAAAAAGUGUGCUAUAUUAAGUCGUUCCGCCGCGGAAAAGGUCCACCCAUUCGUUUUGAAAAUGGGUUUGGAUAGUGCCAUGCAGGACUACCUUAAGUCCCUGAACAAAAACUGUCCCCCCUUUCAAUGUCCCAAGUGUGACAAAAAGUACAAAUCGGUCAUUGGUUUGCAGUACCACUUGAGCAACUAUGACCACGAUAAUCCGUCACCGUCGACUUCCGGUGUGACACCAUCAACUUCGUCGGCUGGUGCUGCUGCCGGGAAGUCUGAUGAAACUCCGAUGGAAGUUGACCCGCAGACACCGGUAAAGGAACAGCCUUCCUCGGAUGAUGAAAAAGUGAAGGAGAAGGUUGCUAUUGAAGAGGAGAAAUCGGUUCCAGCAUCGGAGAAUACGAGGUCCAAAAACAAAAGAGGUCAAGGGGAAACGCCCCUUCGGCCACCGAAUAACAGUCGGCAGAAAAGUCAGAAGAAGAAGGGUCUGGGAGCUACUCCCAAAAAUAAAUCUAAACCACCUCCGCCGAAGGAAUGUUUGACCUAUCUGGAAACGGAUGGGUUGGUCAAAAUUGAGUUUGGUGGCAAGAGCAUCAAUUUGAUGGUGGAGGAAGAGUUUGAACUUCUGGGGAUCGAUGAGGUGAAAGCCAGUUUGGAAGAGGGCCAGGAACUGAUGGCGGUUCCUCCGCCCACUGAACCGGAAGUCAGCUUGCCGCAAGGUGUUUUCAAGGAGAUCGAAGAGUACAACAUUGCCGAUGCACCGCCGAGACCGAACGCGUACAUUCGAUAUAUUGAGAAGAGCAGCGAGGAGCUGGACGGGGAGGUGGAGUACGAUGUGGACGAAGAGGAUACCACCUGGUUGGCAAUCAUGAAUGAAAAACGGGCUGGGCAGAAUCUGUGUCCGGUUCCGGUUGACUCGCUGGAACUGCUGAUGGAUCGACUGGAGAAGGAAUCCUAUUUUCAGGCUGCAGUUACCGGUCAAAAUGGUGCGAUUGUAGACGAUGAUGCCGUUUGCUGCAUUUGCAUGGACGGAGAAUGUCAGAACACCAAUGUAAUUUUGUUUUGUGACAUGUGUAACCUGGCGGUGCACCAGGAUUGUUAUGGCGUUCCUUACAUCCCGGAAGGUCAAUGGCUGUGCCGGCGUUGCCUACAAAGUCCCAGCCGAUCGGUGGAUUGUGUACUUUGUCCCAAUACAGGUGGCGCUUUCAAGCAAACCGACAGAGGCCAAUGGGCUCAUGUUGUUUGUGCUCUCUGGAUUCCGGAAGUGCGAUUCGCCAAUACGGUGUUUCUGGAACCGAUCGACUCGAUUGAGACAAUUCCUCCAGCUCGAUGGAGAUUGGUUUGCUACAUUUGUAAACAGAAGGGAAACGGAGCAUGCAUUCAGUGUAAUCGGAGCUCGUGCUAUGCAGCUUUCCAUGUGACAUGUGCUCAACAGGCCGGUCUUUGCAUGCGUAUGGAUCAAGUUAGGGGAAACGAUACCCAUCCUGUAAUCGUUCAGAAGACGGCCUAUUGCGAUUCGCAUACGCCGCUUAAUGCUCUAGGAUCACCUGAAUCCGGAGCCGAAGCCGAUCCAAGAGAAGCUUCCCGAGAACGGAUGAAGAAAGCCCGAAAGAUGCUCGCCAUGAAGAGAACUUCUGCUCCGGUAAUUCUCAUUCCGACAAUUCCACCGAAUCGUGUGGAAGAAAUUUCCAGCUUGGUGAACUUUGCCAAGAAGCCUCAGUUCAUCCAACGUUUGAUUGCCUACUGGACGCUCAAGAGACAACAUCGAAACGGAGUUCCCUUGCUAAGACGUCUCCAAAGUCAGGGACAAUCAAACAGCGCGCCUCCACCUAUUCUCCCUCCGGCAGCAAUAGCUGGCAGAGAAAAAUCUGACGGCUCCCCCGAUACUCGUGAACUCUACCAACAACUGAAAUACUGGCAACAUCUACGUCAGGACUUGGAACGUGCUCGUCUUCUCUGCGAGUUGGUCCGUAAACGCGAGAAGCUCAAACUGAUCCAGAUCAAAACCGUUGAACAAGCAGUUAUGACCGAACUCAAUCCCAUGGAAGGAGUCCUUCACAAAAUCCUUGACCAACUCGACGCCAAGGAUAUACAGGAAAUUUUUAAAGAACCUGUUGAUACCGAAGAGGUUGCCGACUAUCGGGAUGUCAUCAAAAACCCCAUGGAUCUGGGAACCAUGCGUCAGAAGCUUAAAACCGGUUACUACACCACCAUCGAAGAUCUCGAAGCCGAUUUCACUCUAAUGAUCAACAAUUGCUUGACCUACAACAACAAGGAAACGAUUUUCUAUCGUUACGGCAUAAAAAUGCGCGAAGCUGGUACGAUAAUUUUCCGUACCAUCCGGAAGGAACUGGAGCGAGCUGGGCUGCUCGAAAAGCAUCACCCACCGGUUGUGGUGGAAACGGAGGACUCGCUGGCGGUCGACAUCGAGGCUGAGCUGCAUCUGCUGCAGCAGGAACCGCUCAGUUUGGAUGUGAUCGAAAAACUGCAGCAGCAAGUCACGAAAGCCAACGGCAUAAAGCACGCCUUGACGCGAACCAAGAAACUGAAGGCACUUCGUGCGGAAAUUUCCAAAGUUAAGCGAUUCCUCGCUAAGGAACAGGAGAAACAGGAACCGGCCGUCGAGAUUCCGGUGCUGGAGACGCCGAAAAAAACUUCAACUGAACCGGCGCCGUUUUCGAAGUCCCCCAAACAGCAGCAAACUCCGGCCGUUAGCCCCCUGAAGGCUCUGAACAGUAGCCCGUCGCCGUCCGGUGUCAACAGAAGAACGGCCGUCCUGUUCACCAGGAAGGCCCAGGCAGCGCUGAAGAAGCCGGAAAACCCUUCCAAGGAGGAAGCCGCUAUCGCAGAAACCACCGAGUUGCUGCAGAAAACGGCCAAAAAGGGUGGCCGUGGAAAACGGGGUGGUUCCAGUAAAACCAAAGGUAGCGGCGCCAAUGCAGCAGGUCCCAGCGGUCUUGGAGCGGGUGGCGAUGGUGCCGGCUUUCUGGGUCUACCGGGUCCCUCGGGAACCAAUCGCCGAUCGGGCGAGGAGAAGAAAUCUUUCGAUGCCAUCCCCGAUAGUUUCCGCGUUUAUCGCGGCGGUCAGGAUCGGGAAAUCUCCGAUUCGGAGGACAGUAAUCUCAGUUUUACCGGCAGUACCUGCAGUAGCUGUAGCGGGUUCAGUGGCAGCGGAACGGAUUCGGAAUUCGGAAGCUCCAGCAUGGAUGACGAUCAGUCAUUCUGUGACUCGGAAAUGUCGACCAGUGAAACGGAGGUAUUUCCGGAGAAACCAUUGCUAGAGCCACUAAAGUUGGUAUGGGCAAAAUGUCGAGGCUACCCGUGGUAUCCGGCGUUGAUAAUCGAUCCGGAGAUUCCGACCGGGUUCGUUCACAAUGGAGUUCCGCUACCUGCGCCACCCACUGAUGUGCUAGCCUUGAAGGCAAACUACGAAGAACAAGUAUUCUUGGUGCUGUUCUUUGACGUGAAGCGAACCUGGCAAUGGUUGCCGGCGAACAAGUUGGAGCUCCUCGGAGUCAACAAGGAGCUGGACCAAAGCAAGCUGGUAGAAUCGAGGAAGCCCACGGAACGGAAAGCUGUUAACAAAGCCUACCAGGAGGCGUUGCACUAUCACAGCCAGGUAUCGAGUGCCGACGGGCCUGUUGGGAAGUUGUGAAGCAGUUGGACGUUUGUUGUGUUAAACGUUGAAGCAGACGAUGAUGAAUACGGAUAAAUGUGUCUUUAGUAUGUAGAAGUUACAAUUUUGACAUGACGAUACAGUCACUAGUAGCGCCCUCCAUGUAACCUACUUGCAACAAUGGCCAAUGUUAAGAAAAAUUAAGAUUUUGAAAGAGAAUAGAAAAGAAUUAGAAGGAGAAUGCACUGAGUGGAUGCAAAGGAAACAGCCACGAACCGAUGAUGAAAAACCAAUGAUUUU